RNAcentral lists this long non-coding RNA (962 nucleotides) under Homo sapiens (human). RNAcentral's name for it is "HSALNT0121256". The record is from RNAcentral. Lineage: Eukaryota; Metazoa; Chordata; Mammalia; Primates; Hominidae.
CAGCAUUCACACCCCACAUAUACUUCUUUGCACUUAAAAGCAGGAGCAUGUCAAAGGCUGCCUGCGAAGCUGGCCAGUGCUCCAGGGAGGGCCGGAUCAUCUCUCACACAAAGUGAUCAGGACCUUUGAAGACAGAGGCCCGGGCUUGUGGCUGUUUUCCUGCCAUUUCUCAACAAAGGAGGCUGCUGCCAGGCAUUUUGGGAGUCCCUGCUGUGUGCUGGGAAUCAUAUUAGAUACCAGAGAUGAGUACAAGAUACAGUUCCUACAGUUCCUGCAAUUUAGGAGCUUGACAUGGAGACAUCCCCAUCCCAAUCCAUGGCCCCUCUUCAGAUGUUCAGAUUUCUGGCCACACGACAUUCUAUUCAAUGACCAUGCAGCCUGGUGUCACUCGCUGCCCCUGCUCUGCACCCGCCUGCCACCAGAUAUCAGGUCAGAGUUUUGUCAGGCCUCUGAGCCGAAGCUCGGCCAUUAUAACCCCUGUGACCUGCACAUAUCCGUCUAGAUGGCCUGCAGGAGCCAAGAAGUCUGGAGCAGCCAAAGAAAAACUACAAAGAAGUAAAACAGCCAGUCCCUGCCUUAACUGAGUAAAAUUACAAUAUUUUACUAUCGUGACUUGUCCCUGCCCUAUCUUAGUUGAUCAUUUGACUUUGUGACAUUCUUCUUCUGGACAAUAAGUCUUAUGAUCUCUCCACCAUGUACCUUGCAACCCUCUCCUCUGCUAACAGUAAAUAACUACCUUUUAUUGUAAUUUUCCAUUACCUACCCAACUCCUAUAAAGCAACCGCUUCCCCAUCUCCCUUCGCUGACUGUCUUUUCGGACUCAGCCCACUUGCACCCAAGUGAAUAAACAGCUUUAUUGCUCACGCAAAGCCUGUUUGGUGGUCUCUUCACACGGACGUGCUUGACAUUAUUAUUACUCAAAUCAGUCUCCCCAAUUAUUUGGGAACAGAGUCUUUUGUUUG